This 661-nucleotide ribosomal RNA is filed under the name Lactarius megalopterus. RNAcentral's name for it is "eukaryotic LSU rRNA". The stretch from base 241 to 394 matches the Rfam family "5.8S ribosomal RNA". The record is from RNAcentral. Lineage: Eukaryota; Fungi; Basidiomycota; Agaricomycetes; Russulales; Russulaceae.
GAACCUGCGGAAGGAUCAUUAUCGUGACAAACACGUGGGGGUGCCCAAAGGCUGUCGCUGACCUGAAAUGGUCGUGCACGCCGGAGGACGUCCUCUCGUGUUAAAUCCAUCUCACCCUUUGUGCACCACCGCGUGGGCGCCCCUUCUCCUGAUCGAGAGCGGUCGCUUGCGUUUUCACACAAAACCCCUCUGUAAAUGUGUAGAAUGAUUGUCUCUGCGCUACCACGCGCGAUGUAAUACAACUUUCAACAACGGAUCUCUUGGCUCUCGCAUCGAUGAAGAACGCAGCGAAAUGCGAUACGUAAUGUGAAUUGCAGAAUUCAGUGAAUCAUCGAAUCUUUGAACGCACCUUGCGCCCCUUGGUAUUCCGAGGGGCACACCCGUUUGAGUGUCGUGAACACCUCAACCUCCUCCAUUUCUGAAGGAGGCUUGGACUUUGGAGGCCUCUGCUGGACCGAAAGGGCCAGCUCCUCUCAAAUGAAUUAGCGGGGUCCCCUUUGCCGAUCCUCGACGUGUGAUAAGACGCUUCCACGCCUUGGUCUUUUUCGGCUCUGGGUUUGGGACCCGCUUCCAGUGGUCUCUCCGAGAGACAACGAUCGAGCUUGCCUCGACCACGCACACCCUUGACCUCAAAUCGGGUGAGACUACCCGCUGAACUUAA